GCCCCCGUAGCUCAAUUGGUCCAGAGCGUUCGCCUUUUAAGCGGAAAGAUGAGAGUUCGAGUCUCUCCGGGGGUA
This 75-nucleotide transfer RNA is filed under the name Thermoleophilaceae bacterium. RNAcentral's name for it is "tRNA-Lys". It matches the Rfam family "tRNA". Rfam says of the family: Transfer RNA (tRNA) molecules are approximately 80 nucleotides in length. Lineage: Bacteria; Bacillati; Actinomycetota; Thermoleophilia; Thermoleophilales; Thermoleophilaceae. The record is from RNAcentral.